GCUGUACUCCCUCCGUCCCAUAUUAAGUGUCUCAAAUUUGUCCGAAUAUGAAUGUAUCUAUGACUAGAAAACGAUUAGAUACAUGUAAUAUUUCGACACUUAAUAUGGGACGGAGGGAGUAUAUU
This is a non-coding RNA of Brachypodium distachyon (stiff brome), 125 nucleotides long. The record is from Rfam. NCBI's taxonomy places the organism in Eukaryota, Viridiplantae, Streptophyta, Magnoliopsida, Poales, Poaceae.